UACGUAUGGUGCAAGCGUUGUCCGGAAUUAUUGGGCGUAAAGAGCUCGUAGGCGGUCUGUCGCGUCGGCUGUGAAAACUCGGGGCUCAACUCCGAGCUUGCAGUCGAUACGGGCAGGCUAGAGUUCGGCAGGGGAGACUGGAAUUCCUGGUGUAGCGGUGAAAUGCGCAGAUAUCAGGAGGAACACCGGUGGCGAAGGCGGGUCUCUGGGCCGAUACUGACGCUGAGGAGCGAAAGCGUGGGGAGCGAACAGG
RNAcentral lists this ribosomal RNA (253 nucleotides) under uncultured bacterium. RNAcentral describes it as "partial 16S ribosomal RNA". It matches the Rfam family "Bacterial small subunit ribosomal RNA", at positions 524 to 776 of the family's 1533-position model. The record is from RNAcentral.